AGAACGAACGCUGGCGGCAGGCCUAACACAUGCAAGUCGAACGCUCGUAGCAAUACGAGAGUGGCAGACGGGUGAGUAACGCGUGGGAACCUUCCCAGUGGUACGGAAUAGCUCAGGGAAACUUGAGGUAAUACCGUAUACGCCCCUCGGGGGAAAGAUUUAUCGCCAUUGGAUGGGCCCGCGUAGGAUUAGCUAGUUGGUGAGGUAACGGCUCACCAAGGCGACGAUCCUUAGCUGGUCUGAGAGGAUGAUCAGCCACACUGGGACUGAGACACGGCCCAGACUCCUACGGGAGGCAGCAGGUGGGGAAUAUUGGACAAGUGGGCGCAAGCCUGAUCCAGCCAUGCCGCGUGAGUGACGAGGCCGUUAGGUGUAAGCUGUUUGGGCGGGUAAGAUAUGACGGACCG
Molecule: ribosomal RNA, 407 nt
Filed under: uncultured soil bacterium
Lineage: Bacteria
Description: bacterial SSU rRNA
Rfam family: Bacterial small subunit ribosomal RNA
Source: RNAcentral